GCAGAGCAUUAUCCUUAAGGAGAAGACCAAUAACAUUAACAUGCCUGUACUAACCAUUAUAAAAUGGAACCCAAUAAUGAAAAACACUCGGAGCUAUUAUCCACAAUACUGGCUCAAAACAAGAACCUAGUUGAACAAAACAAUGCGAUUAAAGCUUUAUUAGAACAAAGCACAAAUAAACUUGAACAAGAAGUAGAAACUCUAAAGACACAAAACGUUAGACAAGCCGAGGAAAAUGCCAAAAUAUACACCCACUUCACAACUGAGUUCUUUCAGUCCAAAAUGACUGUAGAAAACACCAUGAAAGCAGUACAAAUGAAAGGAUCAGUAUUUUCCGUUGAAUAACUAUGCUCACCUGAAGAAGUAUUAGACUUCGAAAGAAGACUGAAGGAUAAUUGCGAACUGAAAAACAAACUGACUCAACAUAUAAAAGCUCAACCUCAUGACGAUAUAAGGAAAUUUAUUCAAGAAAAACUAAAACUAGUUUUCCAGACGGACGAAAUUAUCACACGUUGUUAAUGGAAUAGUGGCAACAGAAAUAUACCCGUAAAAUAUAUGCAUUACAUCAAGCUUAUAAGAGAUGCAGCAAUAUCAUAUCCCGGACACUGCUGCAAGUACGAUAGAAUUUCACAUUAAGAAUUUCUUUAAUUCGGCUAAAGACCGCCAAAACUAACGAAAAAGAAAAGCAGAAUCGAAAAAAUCUCAAUCGGACAAAUCUGAAUCGGAAAAAUCUGUUUUUAUUAUACAGGGACUCAAAAA
Long non-coding RNA from Musca domestica (house fly), 759 nucleotides. RefSeq lists it as uncharacterized. The record is from RefSeq and is a predicted model, not a curated record. The transcript is spliced from 3 exons. NCBI's taxonomy places the organism in Eukaryota, Metazoa, Arthropoda, Insecta, Diptera, Muscidae.